GCCUGUCUAGCUCAGUUGCUAGAGCACAAAGCUCUUAACCUUGUGGUUGUGGGUUCAAGCCCCAUAGUGAGUG
RNAcentral lists this transfer RNA (73 nucleotides) under Ipomoea nil (Japanese morning glory). It matches the Rfam family "tRNA". Rfam says of the family: Transfer RNA (tRNA) molecules are approximately 80 nucleotides in length. Their secondary structure includes four short double-helical elements and three loops (D, anti-codon, and T loops). The record is from Rfam by way of RNAcentral. Lineage: Eukaryota; Viridiplantae; Streptophyta; Magnoliopsida; Solanales; Convolvulaceae.